Molecule: ribosomal RNA, 254 nt
Filed under: uncultured bacterium
Lineage: Bacteria
Description: partial 16S ribosomal RNA
Rfam family: Bacterial small subunit ribosomal RNA
Source: RNAcentral
UACGGGGGGAGCAAGCGUUGUUCGGAUUUACUGGGCGUAAAGGGCGCGUAGGCGGCCUCCGCAAGUCGACUGUGAAAUCUCUGGGCUUAACCCAGAACGGUCAGCCGAUACUGCGGGGCUAGAGUGCAGAAGGGGCAACUGGAAUUCUCGGUGUAGCGGUGAAAUGCGUAGAUAUCGAGAGGAACACCUGCGGCGAGGGCGGGUUGCUGGGCUGACACUGACGCUGAGGAGCGAAAGCGUGGGGAGCAAACAGG